Molecule: ribosomal RNA, 672 nt
Filed under: Triticum aestivum (bread wheat)
Lineage: Eukaryota; Viridiplantae; Streptophyta; Magnoliopsida; Poales; Poaceae
Description: partial small subunit ribosomal RNA
Source: RNAcentral
ACGAGACCCACAAGCCACCAGCCCCGCGCCGGCGCCUGUAGCCGGCCGCACGCACGGAUCCAGGCGUGCAAGCCAGAUCCACCACGGGGAUGGAGCCACCAGGAACCACGCAACCACCGCAGACCUCCCUCCGGACCGAGCACCAACCACCGCACGCCAAGACGCCCGAGGACGAACGGAUCUGGCCCGUCCGCAUCGGCCACCGCCGGCCACGCAUCCAGCUCUGCUGGCACUUCCACCGCUCCCGCACGAGGUAGGUGAGUGCAGCCCGCACGCACCAGCGUCCAAGCUCCAGCAUCGCGGCCACGAACGGCGCAUCUCGCGCCCACGCCCAGCGAGCGCCCAAAGCGUCCACCGCGGAUCUCCCCAUGCUGCCUUUGGAGACGGGGGCCGCCGCCACCGCGGCCGAGCCGGCGGCAGCGGCGGAGAGGAGGGCGCCGACGGAGGGGGACCGGCGCCUGCGAGCUUGGUCUCCCCCGAGUCGCCCGGUGGGAGCGACGCGGGGGUCCUGUGCUCCUUCAGCCCACGACUCGUCUCGCUCCACCUCCGUUCUUGUGUUCUAAAUGCUGGGUUGUAGAUUUAUGAUCCAUAUUUCCGUAAUUUGCUUAAUGGUGUAACUCAAGAUUUGCUUGUGUGACAAAUAAAGAUCAAACAAACUACGGUAUGAGCCCC